GAUGAACGCUGGCGGCGUGCCUAAUACAUGCAAGUCGAGCGAACAGAUGAGGAGCUUGCUCCUCUGACGUUAGCGGCGGACGGGUGAGUAACACGUGGAUAACCUACCUAUAAGACUGGGAUAACUUCGGGAAACCGGAGCUAAUACCGGAUAAUAUAUUGAACCGCAUGGUUCAAUAGUGAAAGACGGUUUUGCUGUCCCUUAUAGAUGGAUCCGCGCCGCAUUAGCUAGUUGGUAAGGUAACGGCCUACCAAGGCAACGAUGCGUAGCCGACCUGAGAGGGUGAUCGGCCACACUGGAACUGAGACACGGUCCAGACUCCUACGGGAGGCAGCAGUAGGGAAUCUUCCGCAAUGGGCGAAAGCCUGACGGAGCAACGCCGCGUGAGUGAUGAAGGUCUUCGGAUCGUAAAACUCUGUUAUUAGGGAAGAACAAAUGUGUAAGUAACUAUGCACGUCUUGACGGUACCUAAUCAGAAAGCCACGGCUAACUACGUG
Molecule: ribosomal RNA, 497 nt
Filed under: uncultured bacterium
Lineage: Bacteria
Description: partial 16S ribosomal RNA
Rfam family: Bacterial small subunit ribosomal RNA
Source: RNAcentral